RNAcentral lists this long non-coding RNA (404 nucleotides) under Homo sapiens (human). RNAcentral's name for it is "HSALNT0249162". Lineage: Eukaryota; Metazoa; Chordata; Mammalia; Primates; Hominidae. The record is from RNAcentral.
CUAACUUUUGUGCUAAUGCAGCUCUGGGUAGGGGGGAAGUUUUAAAAAGUAGGUAAUGUACUGAAUCGGAUUUCGUUUCACCCUUAGAAGUUAACUCUCUUGGUGCUUUUUGGGAAACUUUACACCUAACCUUAAAAGAUGUGAGAGAGGGCAUGCUACCUAACAAAUCACUGCUGUGCAGUAAGGCGAAAAACUUCAAAGUUCGCCGAACAAAAGGAUUAGCUCACUCUUGCAGCCGCUCUUCAUUGAAUGCAUGAGUUUUAUAAGGCAAAGACUGCGAGAACACUGUAAAUGUAAAGGAAGCAGUUACUUAAGACAUAUUUGAAUCAAGUAACCCUUAAAAGACUCUAUUACGUAUUCGCCAUGACCUUAGAAGGUAGAAAAACAGUUAUAAAUUAUUGAAA